UGAUCCACGAAGGAAGUGACAUAGCAGGGAGACUCAUAAACAAGGUCAAGAAGGAAGUGGGCCCCCUUCUCUCUUCCUUCUGUUCUCUGCUCUGGAGUCACUAUGUGAUCCACUGGCAAGAGAGGGCACCAGCAGAAGAUAUCUUCUAUAAGGUAAGUCUUAUAAAAUAUAUAGAUUAAUGGUAAUUAAUACUGAGCUAACAGAUGAGAAAUCCUAGCCAUUGGCCAAGCAGCAUUUGUACCUAAUAUAAGUCUCUGUAUAUUAUUUGGGGCCCUAACUCGGCAGGCAGAACUCAGACAGCUGGCGGAAAGCACCCACGUGGUAGUAGGGCUCGGGUGGCUUUUGGUGGAAAGAUUUAUCGUAACACUUUAUGUCCAUAAAAAAUGAUAAUAAUCAAACAUUCUCCAGGGUUGUUUUGACAUUGUAAAUUUGACAAAAUACAAAAAUGUUUAAGGACUAAAUUUAGAGAAAUCUUUCCAAAUUUUAUUCUAUAAAGCACAGUCACUUCCUCAUUACAGAUGCUUUUAUGUUCACAGAAGAUCAGUCAAUAAAUUAUAUGCCCAGUUGGCUGCUUAGUAACCUGAUGAAGCCAAGGAGAUAUUUUCAGUCCAAAAUUAUUAUAAAAAUGUUUAGAACACUUUCUAAUACCUUGAAAUCAUUCAAUGCAAAUUAGUUUCCAGUCAUUCUGAACUUUGUGUUAGGAAGAGAUGUUUAUAUGUUCCCUUGGCUGUUUUCUCUAGGGUCACUUCAGAAAGUAAAGCCACUAAUUUAGAAAUUCUUCAUGUUUCAUUACAGUGAUAAGGAAGAAUUAAUUUAAUCUGUAUAAAUUUACCUUAAAUUUGAUCAAUAUAAACUCAAUAAAUGCAGGCCUAGAGGCUUAUGAGGAGUUGUUCAGAGGCCGUGGUGGAAGCCGUCCCACCUUGCGCUUUGAGAACAUUCCUGUGCUUGUUUGAGUCCACUAUGGUCCCCUGUUGCUAUUGGAUACAGGCUAGAGGCAUCUUCUCAUACGUUGAGAUGUUGUAUGCGUCAUGGGAAGAUAAGGUCUUGAGAGACUUGAAUGUUGAAUGCAGGUUUUUAAAAUGUGAAACAAAGGAAAUGUAAAAUGUUAAUGGAAACCUGCGUGAACAAGAGGUACCUGGACUAGCCUUAAAAAAGGAACUGAGAAAUUUUUACAAGAAAUUCUUAGUGUUACACAGUCCAAUAUCAGAACUAAUGCAAGGAAAGUUUUAGGCAGAGCUCAAACCUGGAAACUCAGAAGGGAAAGAAGUUACUGGGGAAAAUGGCAUCCAUGUCAAUACAUUAUAAGUUGAUGGAGGAAGAAAAUAAAUUACAUCUAAGCAUAUAAUUUUAUAUUGUGUUGUGUGAAGUAGGAGAAUAGAGCACAAAGGUGAGUGGGGGUGGGUCCUGAUCAAGUGUUCAAGAUUGGGGCUCACUUUCUUGUGAAUGUAUUACUGAGAUUAAAACAAAACAGACUGCCAGUUAGGUGAAGGGGCAGUGGCAUGCCCAAGGGCCCCUGGCAGAGAAGACACACUUGAGAAUGUGAAAGAAGGCACACAGCACAACACAAGCCUGCAACCAGACAGUUUUAGUAGCAAGGAGGGGGUGUUCUCAUGCCCUUUGUUGUCAAAGAAUAAGUGUGAUGAAGUUGUGAUACCACUAAUAAUGAUGUCUCCUGACCCAAGCAAUCACAGUUAUACUCCAAGCAGGCUCUCCUAGGUAUCCUAUUAGAGCAGAACUCAGGCCUGGGAAGAUAGAUAGCUCAGUUUACAAAGUGCUUGCCAUAGAAACAUGAGAACAAAGAUUCAAUUGCCAGCACCCAUGUAAAAAGGUUGGGGUGGUGGCACGUGCUUACAAUGCUGUUACUGAAGAGGCAGACAAAGCAAAUCUUGGGCUCACUAGCCAGCUAGCCUGGCCUAGGCUCCACAGAGAGAUUCUGUCUCAAAAUUCAAGGUGAAUGUUUCUUGAGGAUUGACACCUCAAGUCUCUACAUGCACAUAUACAACUCUGUGCAUACACAAGGAUUCACAUAGGCAAGCAUGCGCGCACGCGCGCGCACACACACACACACACACACACACACACACACACAGUUGUUUUGUAAAGGUAGACCUGGGAGAGAAAGGUCUGCUAUUUUCUAACACAGGCAUACUUCUCAGCAGGCAUGUGGAGGCAGGGGAAGGAGAUGUGGUGCACUUUAGGCUACCAGUUAUGCAAACUGCUCUCACCUGGAAGCCCAUUAUAAUUUUACACUUGGGAGAAUUAUCUAUCACAGAGUAGAAAAAUGCAAGGUACUUAAAGCCCUGCACAAUAGUUUGAAUGAAUAUAAACAGUUUGCAUUCGUAGGGUCUAGUGUGGCCAGUUCAUUUUGAGGUUAGCCUGCUGCAAAAGUUUCUCCAUCCCCACCCAUUUUUCUGCAGGAAGUAUAAAAGACUAGACUAGAUAAAUAAAAAUCCAUCCCUUAAAUUAAACAUGAAGAGAGGCUAGACAGUUAGGUUUGGUGACUGAGUAUAAGGAGGUUAAGAAAUGAAUUGAAAGGGACCAAACACAAACAAUGGGUUAUGAGGAAAGGCUCAAGGCAGGGAGGGUCCCCAUGGAACACAGAAGAUAUUUUCCCAGUGGUCUAAACCAGUUGUUCUCCAGGUGUGGCCAUCAAAGCAGAAAUAUCUUUAUUACCCGGGAGCUGGUUGGGGAUGAAGACUCCUAGACUCUGGUCCUAAGGCUGCAUCUGGGAAUUCCAUGCUCAUAGAAGCUUGAUAGCACUUGCAGGUCUAAAGUGUGAUUACCUCUAAGAACCAAGAAUAGGUCAAAACUUUGGUCAAUGGCCAUCUGCCAUGGGUCUGUGUGAAGAAAUGAAAACUCUAAAGUGAAAAUGUUUCCUUUCUUGUUUCUAUGUGUGCAGCACAUCCUUCAUCAGGAGGGUUACCACAGGGUUUGUAUUAAACUUCUUUCCAUUUCUGAGGGUUAAAUUGUAUCUGCCUUUGUGAGGGUACUUUGUCAUGAAAUAAUAAUGUGUAAUUAGGUGGUAGCUUCCCAAUUGAAAAUAUUUUCAAUGCCAUCAGUCAACAUAGUGUAGAACCCAUUAAAAGCAAUGAGGUAGUCAUAGGGACAACGCAGCAAUUGAAUGAAAAUGAUUAGGAAAUUUUAAUUUUUAUUCUUUUUAUAAGUAUUGCGUGGUUUGCUUGCACAAAGUCACUGUGCUCUAUUCUGAUAAAGAAUGAAUUGUGGAACCUCUUCCAUUUUUAAAUAAUGUGGUGUCUGUGUGUCCUUCUGAUCAUAGGGCAGCCAACACUGACUCUAACAGGAUAUAACUGACGAAAUCCGAGAGGGAGGGUGGAGAAGAAGAGCAUGGGUGGCUAAAGAAAUGGGAAAGAAGCUGUGUUCUUACUCAGAAAACACAACUUUCAUUAAAUUUGUAUGCACUGAUCAUCAGGAAGCAAAAUUUGAUGUCUUUAAGCCAGCAGAAUUGCAUGGUAGGUAAAGGCACUGUGGUCAAGCCUGAUGACCUGAGCUCAAUCCUUGAAACCCACAUGGUGGAAGAAAAGAACCAAGUCACACAAGCUAAUCACAUCGUUCAAGGAGGGGCAUCAUACAGGAUGUGAGCAACAAGAAGCAGGGCUCACACAACUACUCAAAGACUUUGAUAUUAUAACCUUUAUUGAAAAUAUUUUUGUUGUAAAUAUCAUAUAUUUUGUUUCCGUGUGUUAACAAGCCUACAAAUCUAUACUAUUUCAGUGUGAAGCCUAUUUACUUAUAUAAUUAUAUAUCACUAUGCCUUAGUCUACCUUUCCUUUAAAAUAAUAUUGGCACUUUCUUUGUUCUUUUCAUGAAAUAUUUUAGAUGAUUCAGAAUUUUAGUAUUUAUUUUAUUCAUCAUGUUAUCUCAUUAUUUAUUUGUGUGCAUGGGUACAUAUGUACCCAUGCCACAGCACUCACAUGUAAAUAAGAAUUUGACUUUCAGGAGUCUAUUCUUACCUUCCAUCAUGUGUGUCCUGGGAAUCAAACUCAGGUUGCUAGGUUUUGUAGCAGUCACCUUUACCCAUGAGACAUCCUCCUGAUCCUUACAUCUCAUUUUAACUAUGACACUCUAGUUAUUCUGUGUUACCCUGUGACUUCAAUAUGAAGAGUCAAUAUUUUAUAGAUCUUUUAAUACCAUUUCACAACCAGCACAAGAAAUUUAUUGCAAUAAAAUAACAUCAACACUUAAUACCUUUGACUCAGUCUAUUUCCCCAAAAAUUUUCAGAGAGUUAGAUUCUAUAAUGGCUAGAACUUUAAGGUGUCAUACAUUUUGUAUUUUUUUGAGCUCCUGUAUCUUGAAAGAUUUCUUUUCAGUUAUUCAAAUAGGUAAAAGUGGUAAAUUUUAUCCUUAAGACAUUUUGCUUUCAAAUCCAUUGAGGUAGUCCUUCAGUCUGCUCUAUAUCACAGUGUUGAAUUCUAUUAAUAUGCUAUCAUAGUUUGCAAGACCCUUUCAUUCAUCUGCAAUGAAACAUUAUGCUAUAUUAUGUAUUUGCGGAUAUAUUACUGAAUAUUAUUUGCUAAGAUUUUCCCUGUUUGUUAGGGCUGUGAAUGACAGUGAUUUGUGAUUGUCCUGCCUUAUCCUAUUUAUGUCUGGUUUGCUGUUCAUUAAAAUCAUGUCAUAAAAGUUGGGAUUGUUUACAUCUUUCCAAUUUUCUGUAUGUUUCAUGUGUUGUUUUGUUUGUUUAUUUUUGAGGGAGUUGUUUCAUUUGUUUUCUUUUUGUCUUGCUGGGUUUUUUUGUUUGUUUUGAUUUUCAUUUUGUUUUCUUUUUUAUAAAGAGAUCACGGUAACAUAAAAUUAAAUUGGAUGGGUAGGGCAGUAGGGAGGAUAUAGGAGGAGUUGGGGGGACCAGUAAAAACACAG
Molecule: long non-coding RNA, 4876 nt
Filed under: Cricetulus griseus (Chinese hamster)
Lineage: Eukaryota; Metazoa; Chordata; Mammalia; Rodentia; Cricetidae
Description: lncRNA (ENSCGRG00015029039.1)
Source: RNAcentral